CCCCCAUUAGCUCAGUGGACAGAGCACGAUGUUACGAGCGUCGGUUGUCGCAAGUUCGAAUCUUGCAUGGGGGUCCA
Molecule: transfer RNA, 77 nt
Filed under: Cyanobacteria bacterium SZAS-4
Lineage: Bacteria; Bacillati; Cyanobacteriota
Description: tRNA-Arg
Rfam family: tRNA
About the family: Transfer RNA (tRNA) molecules are approximately 80 nucleotides in length.
Source: RNAcentral